This 374-nucleotide ribosomal RNA is filed under the name uncultured bacterium. RNAcentral describes it as "partial 16S ribosomal RNA". It matches the Rfam family "Bacterial small subunit ribosomal RNA", at positions 338 to 795 of the family's 1533-position model. The record is from RNAcentral.
CCUACGGGAGGCAGCAGUGAGGAAUAAAACGAAGCACGUGUGCCUUUUUGCAUGCACUUUAUGAAUAAGGAUCGGCUAACUCCGUGCCAGCAGCCGCGGUAAUACGGAGGAUCCGAGCGUUAUCCGGAUUUAUUGGGUUUAAAGGGAGCGUAGAUGGGUUGUUAAGUCAGUUGUGAAAGUUUGCGGCUCAACCGUAAAAUUGCAAUUGAUACUGGCAGUCUUGAGUACAGUUGAGGUAGGCGGAAUUCGUGGUGUAGCGGUGAAAUGCUUAGAUAUCACGAAGAACCCCGAUUGCGAAGGCAGCUUACUAAACUGUGACUGACAUUGAUGCUCGAAAGUGCGGGUAUCAAACAGGAUUAGAUACCCUGGUAGUC